AAUGUCCUGCUUUCCCGAAGCCCUGCUUUCCUAUGCGGGGUACUUAUGUAGAGAAAGCGGGACAUU
Molecule: non-coding RNA, 66 nt
Filed under: Clostridiales bacterium NK3B98
Lineage: Bacteria; Bacillati; Bacillota; Clostridia; Eubacteriales
Description: rumen bacterium NK3B98 DUF3800-VIII RNA
Rfam family: DUF3800-VIII RNA
About the family: Bacteroidetes, Cyanobacteria, Firmicutes, Planctomycetes (1 example), Proteobacteria, Tenericutes (1 example). Nearby to DUF3800
Source: Rfam by way of RNAcentral